This 254-nucleotide ribosomal RNA is filed under the name uncultured bacterium. RNAcentral describes it as "partial 16S ribosomal RNA". It matches the Rfam family "Bacterial small subunit ribosomal RNA", at positions 524 to 776 of the family's 1533-position model. The record is from RNAcentral.
CACGUAGGGUGCGCGCGUUGUCCGGAAUUAUUGGGCGUAAAGAGCUCGUAGGCGGUGUGUCGCGUCGGCCGUGAAAACCUGCAGCUUAACUGUGGGCUUGCGGUCGAUACGGGCAUCACUGGAGUUCGGCAGGGGAGACUGGAAUUCCUGGUGUAGCGGUGAAAUGCGCAGAUAUCAGGAGGAACACCGGUGGCGAAGGCGGCAUCCUGGACCGGUAUUGACGCUGAGGCGCGAAAGCUAGGGGAGCAAACGGG